Molecule: ribosomal RNA, 254 nt
Filed under: uncultured bacterium
Lineage: Bacteria
Description: partial 16S ribosomal RNA
Rfam family: Bacterial small subunit ribosomal RNA
Source: RNAcentral
UACAGAGGAUGCAAGCGUUAUCCGGAAUGAUUGGGCGUAAAGCGUCUGUAGGUGGCUUUUUAAGUCCGCCGUCAAAUCCCAGGGCUCGACUCUGGACAGGCGGUGGAAACUACCAAGCUGGAGUACGGUAGGGGCAGAGGGAAUUUCCGGUGGAGCGGUGAAAUGCGUAGAGAUCGGGAGGAACACCCGUGGCGAAGGCGAUGGCCUGGACCUCGAGCUGACGCUGAGGCGCGAAAGCGUGGGGAGCGAUCCGG